RNAcentral lists this unclassified non-coding RNA (223 nucleotides) under Hevea brasiliensis (rubber tree). The record is from RNAcentral. Lineage: Eukaryota; Viridiplantae; Streptophyta; Magnoliopsida; Malpighiales; Euphorbiaceae.
ACGAUACGUGCCAUGGGUUGGGAGAUUGGUUCAUCGCGUUCAAGUUAAGAGUAGCUUCCACUUCAGAUUGUCCACCAGACAAGAACAUGAUUCCAGGGACAGCAGGGGGAAUUCUUCGUUGGAGGAGCUUGAGGGUAUAAUCAGCAACUUGUUCUGGGGUGGCCCUCUCCUUGCAUUCUGCUCCCGGGGUGACCAUGCUAGGCUUCAACAAGAUACCUUCAAA